UACAAGAAAACCUAGCUAGAGAGAGAGAGAGAGCAUAAGCCAUGGCAUUUGGCCAUGGCUAGCAAAAUUGGAGCUCGAAUUCCUUGAUCAAAAAGAUCAGAUUUUCAAAGUAUUCCAACCAGUUAGGAAGGCUAUAAUAACGUGGAUUAGUCAUUUGGAGCAACAAGAACAAGUAUUAGUUCAUUUCACAACUUCUAGCCAAAUUAAGAAGCCAACUUGUUAAGGUUGAAGUGCCAAUCGAGACGAGUUUAAAUUAUUGAAUUGGUACAGACGACAAACGGUACAGACGCACAGUUUGGUGAUCCACCAGUUUAGGACACCCUCUUCUGCUGUUUGGAGUGCUCCUCUUAUUCCGGAGCCUACAUUUUGGUAUAUAUACUUGUUUGAUGCAUAUGUAUAUAUUUGUUCAGGGGUACGGCGGGGCCCUGUUCCGCCAUAUGAUCCGUUUGGUCUGUUUAGAGGUCUGUAGACGUAUUUGUGGG
Long non-coding RNA from Lycium barbarum (goji berry), 482 nucleotides. RefSeq lists it as uncharacterized. The transcript has 3 exons. The record is from RefSeq and is a predicted model, not a curated record. Lineage: Eukaryota; Viridiplantae; Streptophyta; Magnoliopsida; Solanales; Solanaceae.